This 90-nucleotide non-coding RNA is filed under the name Streptomyces lavendulae subsp. lavendulae. RNAcentral's name for it is "sodF sRNA". It matches the Rfam family "sodF sRNA". Rfam says of the family: Identified in Streptomyces coelicolor. It is produced from sodF mRNA by cleavage of about 90 nucleotides from its 3'UTR. Lineage: Bacteria; Bacillati; Actinomycetota; Actinomycetes; Kitasatosporales; Streptomycetaceae. The record is from Rfam by way of RNAcentral.
CCGUCCGCCUCGUGAUCGUCUUCUCAGCCUUCACCGGCGGGCGUGUACAGCGGAGGACCCCCGUGAGGACGUGACUCACGGGGGUCCUUC